GGUAGAGCACUGUUUCGGCUAGGGGGCCAUCCCGGCUUACCAACCCGAUGCAAACUACGAAUACCGAAGAAUGUUAUCACGGGAGACACACGGCGGGUGCUAACGUCCGUCGUGAAGAGGGAAACAACCCAGACCGCCAGCUAAGGUCCCAAAGUCAUGGUUAAGUGGGAAACGAUGUGGGAAGGCCCAGACAGCCAGGAUGUUGGCUUAGAAGCAGCCAUCAUUUAAAGAAAGCGUAAUAGCUCACUGGUCGAGUCGGCCUGCGCGGAAGAUGUAACGGGGCUAAACCAUGCACCGAAGCUGCGGCAGCGACGCUUAUGCGUUGUUGGGUAGGGGAGCGUUCUGUAAGCCGUUGAAGGUGGCCUGUGAGGGCUGCUGGAGGUAUCAGAAGUGCGAAUGCUGACAUAAGUAACGAUAAAGCGGGUGAAAAGCCCGCUCGCCGGAAGACCAAGGGUUCCUGUCCAACGUUAAUCGGGGCAGGGUGAGUCGACCCCUAAGGCGAGGCCGAAAGGCGUAGUCGAUGGGAAACAGGUUAAUAUUCCUGUACUUGGUGUUACUGCGAAGGGGGGACGGAGAAGGCUAUGUUAGCCGGGCGACGGUUGUCCCGGUUUAAGCAUGUAGGCGGAGGUUCCAGGUAAAUCCGGUACCUUUUAACGCUGAGGUGUGAUGACGAGGCACUACGGUGCUGAAGUAACAAAUGCCCUGCUUCCAGGAAAAGCCUCUAAGCAUCAGGUAACACGAAAUCGUACCCCAAACCGACACAGGUGGUCAGGUAGAGAAUACCAAGGCGCUUGAGAGAACUCGGGUGAAGGAACUAGGCAAAAUGGUGCCGUAACUUCGGGAGAAGGCACGCUGAUAUGUAGGUGAAGCCCCUGCGGGUGGAGCUGAAAUCAGUCGAAGAUACCAGCUGGCUGCAACUGUUUAUUAAAAACACAGCACUGUGCAAACACGAAAGUGGACGUAUACGGUGUGACGCCUGCCCGGUGCCGGAAGGUUAAUUGAUGGGGUUAGCGGUAACGCGAAGCUCUUGAUCGAAGCCCCGGUAAACGGCGGCCGUAACUAUAACGGUCCUAAGGUAGCGAAAUUCCUUGUCGGGUAAGUUCCGACCUGCACGAAUGGCGUAAUGAUGGCCAGGCUGUCUCCACCCGAGACUCAGUGAAAUUGAACUCGCUGUGAAGAUGCAGUGUACCCGCGGCAAGACGGAAAGACCCCGUGAACCUUUACUAUAGCUUGACACUGAACACUGGUCCUUGAUGUGUAGGAUAGGUGGGAGGCUUUGAAGCGUGGACGCCAGUCUGCGUGGAGCCAUCCUUGAAAUACCACCCUUUAAUGGCUGGUGUUCUAACGUAGACCCGUAAUCCGGGUUGCGGACAGUGUCUGGUGGGUAGUUUGACUGGGGCGGUCUCCUCCCAAAGAGUAACGGAGGAGCACGAAGG
RNAcentral lists this ribosomal RNA (1436 nucleotides) under Enterobacter cloacae subsp. cloacae. RNAcentral describes it as "partial 23S ribosomal RNA". It matches the Rfam family "Bacterial large subunit ribosomal RNA", at positions 901 to 2316 of the family's 2925-position model. The record is from RNAcentral. Lineage: Bacteria; Pseudomonadati; Pseudomonadota; Gammaproteobacteria; Enterobacterales; Enterobacteriaceae.